This 446-nucleotide ribosomal RNA is filed under the name Cantellius sp. 5 MM-2014. RNAcentral describes it as "partial 16S ribosomal RNA". It matches the Rfam family "Bacterial large subunit ribosomal RNA", at positions 1933 to 2590 of the family's 2925-position model. Lineage: Eukaryota; Metazoa; Arthropoda; Thecostraca; Balanomorpha; Pyrgomatidae. The record is from RNAcentral.
GCAGUAUCCUAACUGUGCUAAGGUAGCAUAAUCAUUAGUCUUUUAAUUGGAGACUGGUAUGAAUGGCUUAACGAGAAAUUGACUUUUUUUACUAUAUAUCUUGAACUUAAUUUUUUAGUGAAAAAGCUAAAAUGCUUCAGAAAGACGAGAAGACCCUAUAGAGUUUUAUAUCAAUUUAUAUUUUCUCUUAAUAGAUUUUAAAAGGGUAAAUUUAAUAAGAUAUUUUGUUGGGGCGACAUUAAGAUAUAAAAAACUCUUUAUUUUCUAAAUUUUUAUGAAAAUAUUAUUUUGACCCUCUAUAAGGGAUCAAAAGAAAAAAUUACCUUAGGGAUAACAGCGUAAUCUUUUUUAAGAGUUCUAAUCGACAAAAAGGUUUGCGACCUCGAUGUUGGACUAAAAUUUAGGCAGGGUGCAGCAGUUCUGCUUUAAGGUCUGUUCGACCUAUA